ACGGCUCAGUAACACGUAGUUAACCUACCCUCAGGACAGGGAUACCCCCGGGAAACUGGGGACAAUACGUGAUAGGCGGAAAGACCUGGAAUGGUCUUCCACUGAAAGGGUGUUGGAUACAUGCUUUCAACACUGCCUGAGGAUGGGACUGCGACCGAUCAGGUUGUUGGUGGGGUAACGGCCCACCAAGCCGAUAACCGGUACGGGCCCUGAGAGGGGGAGCCCGGAGAUGGGAACUGAGACAAGGUCCCAGGUCCUACGGGACGCAGCAGGCGCGAAACCUCCACAAUGCACGAAAGUGUGAUGGGGUUAUCCCGAGUGCUGUCCGAUGAGGAUGGCUUUUCCUCGGUGUAAAAAGCCGAGGGAAUAAAGGGGGGGCAAGACUGGUGUCAGCCGCCGCGGUAAUACCAGCUCCCUGAGUGGUAGGGAUGAUUAUUUGGCCUAAAGCGUCCGUAGCCGGCUUGGUCAGUCCUUCGUCAAAUCCAACGACUUAAUCGUUGGUCUGCGGAGGAUACUGCCAGGCUAGAGGACGGGAGAGGUUGACGGUAGUCCCGGGGUAGGGGUGAAAUCCAAUAAUCCUGGGAGGACCACCAGUGGCGAAGGCGGUCAACAAGAACGUGCCUGACGGUGAUGGACGAAAGCUGGGGGAGCGAACCGGAUUAGACACCCGGGUAGUCCCAGCCGUAAACGAUGCGGGCUAGGUGUUAGGGCAGCUACGAGCUGCUCUAGUGCCGCAGAGAAGUCGUUAAGCCCGCCGCCUGGGGAGUACGAUCGCAAGGUUGAAACUUAAAGGAAUUGGCGGGGGAGCACCACAAGGGGUGAAGCCUGCGGUUCAAUUGGAGUCAACGCCGGGAA
RNAcentral lists this ribosomal RNA (855 nucleotides) under uncultured archaeon. RNAcentral describes it as "bacterial SSU rRNA". It matches the Rfam family "Archaeal small subunit ribosomal RNA", at positions 85 to 924 of the family's 1478-position model. The record is from RNAcentral.